Pelobates cultripes (western spadefoot toad) is the source of this 93-nucleotide non-coding RNA. NCBI's taxonomy places the organism in Eukaryota, Metazoa, Chordata, Amphibia, Anura, Pelobatidae. The record is from the annotation of a GenBank genome assembly.
CUCCAGAUGUUGCUGAAGUACAACUCCCAUGAUUCUCUGGCUAUCUAUGUAAUUCAAAGAAUCAUGGGAGUUGUAGUUCAGCAACAUCUGGAG